GGGGGUAUAGCUCAGCGAUCAGUGUGCCUGCUUGGUGUGCACUAGGUCCUGGGUUCAAUCCCCAGUGCCUCCC
This 73-nucleotide transfer RNA is filed under the name Camelus bactrianus (Bactrian camel). It matches the Rfam family "tRNA". Rfam says of the family: Transfer RNA (tRNA) molecules are approximately 80 nucleotides in length. Their secondary structure includes four short double-helical elements and three loops (D, anti-codon, and T loops). RNAcentral also lists the same sequence under 1 other name. Lineage: Eukaryota; Metazoa; Chordata; Mammalia; Artiodactyla; Camelidae. The record is from Rfam by way of RNAcentral.